UACGAAGGGGGCUAGCGUUGUUCGGAAUUACUGGGCGUAAAGCGCGCGCAGGCGGCCUUUCUAGUCAGGGGUGAAAGCCCGGAGCUCAACUCCGGAAUUGCCUUUGAAACUGUCAGGCUCGAGUACGGGAGAGGUGAGUGGAAUUCCCAGUGUAGAGGUGAAAUUCGUAGAUAUUAGGAAGAACACCGGUGGCGAAGGCGGCUCACUGGCCCGUUUCUGACGCUCAGGCGCGACAGCGUGGGGAUCAAACAGG
Molecule: ribosomal RNA, 253 nt
Filed under: uncultured bacterium
Lineage: Bacteria
Description: partial 16S ribosomal RNA
Rfam family: Bacterial small subunit ribosomal RNA
Source: RNAcentral